Molecule: non-coding RNA, 628 nt
Organism: Misgurnus anguillicaudatus (oriental weatherfish)
Lineage: Eukaryota; Metazoa; Chordata; Actinopteri; Cypriniformes; Cobitidae
Source: RefSeq, a predicted model, not a curated record
AUCAAAGGUCACGAUAGCUAAGAUGAGCCUGAAGGAGAAAUGUAUAGAUGCUGUUUCAUCUCUGCUUUCCAGAUCAUCUUUGGCAUUGCACUUCUGAGGUCAUCACCAUCUUUCUUCAGCCAAACAAAAUGAUUCUCACCAACCACGCCGGCUCUGCUAAGCUUGAUGUUGGAGGUCUGCUGUUUUUGAAGCAGGGGACCACUGUCCAUUAAAGGCUUCAUAAACCAUUUAACAAAAUCACAUAAGAUAGUGUAGUUCAUACUCCAUGCGAUGUGCCAUACAAUGGAAGGGCCAUGUUCCUUAUCACAUCUGGAUACUGCAAAGCUCCUGUCUCCUCAACAAUUUACGAACUAAUCAAUUAUUAAAUGAAGAAAUGCUAUGUAAAAGCAAAGAUAUUUCUUCCUGUGGAAUUUGAGUUUUAAAUGUAGUAAUUACUGUUUUAUGGCAUAAAUAAAAGUUAAAUAUUAUAUUAUUUUAAAAGCAUCAUGUAUCUUUUUUCAUUCCUAAUGUAUUCUACUAGUAGUGUGUCAGGCACUUUAACCCUUAUGAAAAAAGCCAAGGAAAAUAGAGAGCAUCAUAUCAAAACAACUGUUUAUUUGCACAUGCAACAUUAAACUAUGGUAUACAU